Molecule: long non-coding RNA, 570 nt
Organism: Vidua macroura (Pin-tailed whydah)
Lineage: Eukaryota; Metazoa; Chordata; Aves; Passeriformes; Viduidae
Exons: 3
Source: RefSeq, a predicted model, not a curated record
GCGGGGCGCAGAGGGGCUGCGGUCUGCGCCGGCAGCCGCCGUGGCACCGAGCCCGGCGGCUUUCCCUGCGCGGUCCAUGGGGUAUGCACAUGGCUCGAGUGCCGUAACAAGAGUGUAGCUUUGGCAGUGUAAGUUAGCCCCUUUUGGAAGUAACUUGUGUUUGGAAAACAUGCUCUAUGCAUGCUGGGGUGCGGGCAGCUCAGGCUGGUCUUGUUUCGUUUGUAUUACAUUAUUUGCGAGCUCAGGAUAGACAAAAGGCCUCCCCAGUGCUGCCAGUAGGCUAGGAAGAAGUCUACUAGCUCCAUACUUUUAUUAUCAUUGGGCUGUUGUCAUAAAAAUACCCCAAACAACUCAAAAACCCAUCCAAAAGCAAAACAAGAAAAUGCUACUCCUUUCAAUGCCCCCGGAUUGCUGUCAUCUGCAAGCAGUCCUCAAUGCAUUCAGUGCUUGUGCAUGAAGAUUGCUUAGCCGUGCUGGCAGACAGAAGAGACAAUCUAAAAUCUGAAGGAUUUGUCCAAAUUCCGUGGAAUAAAUUGUAUCCAGAAAACUUUCCAGGACCUGUGAGAUAGA